Molecule: long non-coding RNA, 473 nt
Filed under: Phascolarctos cinereus (koala)
Lineage: Eukaryota; Metazoa; Chordata; Mammalia; Diprotodontia; Phascolarctidae
Description: lncRNA (ENSPCIG00000023968.2)
Source: RNAcentral
CAGGAGAGGAGGGAGUGAGAGCUGCUGUUUCAUUUAAGGACAUCUGGGGAUAGAGGCCUUCAGCCCUGUGCUGGCUUGAUAUGAUGGUAAAAUUUGGUUACAGAAUGAUCAGUUUCUGCUGUCUAAGAAGUCUAAUAAUUAAUCUUGUGGUAUACCAGGCAAGCUAAGUGUGUAGAGCAUGACCCCAAGGAAGGAAACACUCACAUUUGUAUAGCAGCUCCUGAGAAGAGGCAAGAAGAUGUUGGAUGACCAAGUUGAUUCUUGGGCUGACUCCAGUUGCACGUUUCUCCUGUGGUUUUCUAUAAACACUAUCUAGUCUGCAAGAAAGAGACAUGAUGGUGAGGGGAAGAAAUGUGUUGCACAGGGGAGGGGUGUGAAGACUGCUGUAUAUGGAAAGGAACCAAGGAGUAGGAAAGAUAGAGGAUCAUAGCAAUAGAGCUGAAAGUCACCUCAAAAGUUAUUUUGUAAUUCCU